This 191-nucleotide small nuclear RNA is filed under the name Dasypus novemcinctus (nine-banded armadillo). RNAcentral describes it as "U2 spliceosomal RNA (ENSDNOG00000034530.1)". It matches the Rfam family "U2 spliceosomal RNA". Rfam says of the family: U2 is a small nuclear RNA (snRNA) component of the spliceosome (involved in pre-mRNA splicing). Lineage: Eukaryota; Metazoa; Chordata; Mammalia; Cingulata; Dasypodidae. The record is from RNAcentral.
AUCACUUCUCAGACUUUUGGCUAAGAUCAAGUGUAGUAUCUGUUCUUAUAAGUUUAAUAUAUGAUACAUCCAUUAUCUGAAGACAAUUUAGUAAAUGGAUUUUUGGAGCAGGGAGAUGGAAUAGGAGCUUGUGCCAUCCACUCCACGCAUCGACGUGGUAGUGCAGGAUCUCUGGGAAUGGUGCACCUACU